Molecule: ribosomal RNA, 568 nt
Filed under: uncultured bacterium
Lineage: Bacteria
Description: partial 16S ribosomal RNA
Rfam family: Bacterial small subunit ribosomal RNA
Source: RNAcentral
UGGGGAAUAUUGCACAAUGGGCGAAAGCCUGAUGCAGCGACGCCGCGUGAGGGAUGACGGCCUUCGGGUUGUAAACCUCUUUCAGCAGGGAAGAAGCGAAAGUGACGGUACCUGCAGAAGAAGCGCCGGCUAACUACGUGCCAGCAGCCGCGGUAAUACGUAGGGCGCAAGCGUUGUCCGGAAUUAUUGGGCGUAAAGAGCUCGUAGGCGGUUAGUCGCGUCUGCUGUGAAAACUCGAGGCUCAACCUCGGGCUUGCAGUGGGUACGGGCUGACUAGAGUGCGGUAGGGGUGACUGGAAUUCCUGGUGUAGCGGUGGAAUGCGCAGAUAUCAGGAGGAACACCGAUGGCGAAGGCAGGUCACUGGGCCGCAACUGACGCUGAGGAGCGAAAGCAUGGGGAGCGAACAGGAUUAGAUACCCUGGUAGUCCAUGCCGUAAACGUUGGGCACUAGGUGUGGGGUCCAUUCCACGGAUUCCGUGCCGCAGCAAACGCAUUAAGUGCCCCGCCUGGGGAGUACGGCCGCAAGGCUAAAACUUAAAUGAAUUGACGGGGUCAUAGCUGUUUCCU